RNAcentral lists this ribosomal RNA (482 nucleotides) under uncultured bacterium. RNAcentral's name for it is "partial 16S ribosomal RNA". It matches the Rfam family "Bacterial small subunit ribosomal RNA", at positions 30 to 507 of the family's 1533-position model. The record is from RNAcentral.
AUUGAACGCUGGCGGCAUGCUUUACACAUGCAAGUCGAACGGUAACAGGCCGCAAGGUGCUGACGAGUGGCGAACGGGUGAGUAAUGCAUCGGAACGUGCCCAGUCGUGGGGGAUAACUACUCGAAAGAGUAGCUAAUACCGCAUACGAUCUAUGGAUGAAAGCGGGGGACCGUAAGGCCUCGCGCGAUUGGAGCGGCCGAUGUCAGAUUAGGUAGUUGGUGGGGUAAAGGCUCACCAAGCCAACGAUCUGUAGCUGGUCUGAGAGGACGACCAGCCACACUGGAACUGAGACACGGCCCAGACUCCUACGGGAGGCAGCAGUGGGGAAUUUUGGACAAUGGGCGCAAGCCUGAUCCAGCAAUGCCGCGUGCAGGAAGAAGGCCUUCGGGUUGUAAACUGCUUUUGUACGGAACGAAACGGCUUUGGUUAAUACCCGGAGCUAAUGACGGUACCGUAAGAAUAAGCACCGGCUAACUACGUG